RNAcentral lists this ribosomal RNA (164 nucleotides) under uncultured bacterium. RNAcentral's name for it is "partial 16S rRNA". It matches the Rfam family "Bacterial small subunit ribosomal RNA", at positions 355 to 511 of the family's 1533-position model. The record is from RNAcentral.
UAAGGAAUCUUCCACAAUGGGCGAAAGCCUGAUGGAGCAACGCCGCGUGUGUGAUGAAGGGUUUCGGCUCGUAAAACACUGUUGUAAGAGAAGAAUGACAUUGAGAGUAACUGUUCAAUGUGUGACGGUAUCUUACCAGAAAGGAACGGCUAAAUACGUGCCUG